RNAcentral lists this ribosomal RNA (768 nucleotides) under Streptomyces sp. DOSMB-SP10. Its description in RNAcentral is "bacterial SSU rRNA". It matches the Rfam family "Bacterial small subunit ribosomal RNA", at positions 37 to 821 of the family's 1533-position model. Lineage: Bacteria; Bacillati; Actinomycetota; Actinomycetes; Kitasatosporales; Streptomycetaceae. The record is from RNAcentral.
UGGCGGCGUGCUUAACACAUGCAAGUCGAACGAUGAACCACUUCGGUGGGGAUUAGUGGCGAACGGGUGAGUAACACGUGGGCAAUCUGCCCUGCACUCUGGGACAAGCCCUGGAAACGGGGUCUAAUACCGGAUAUUAACCGCUCAGGCAUCUGUCGCGGGUGCAAAGCUCCGGCGGUGCAGGAUGAGCCCGCGGCCUAUCAGCUUGUUGGUGAGGUAACGGCUCACCAAGGCCACUACGGGUAGCCGGCCUGAGAGGGCGACCGGCCACACUGGGACUGAGACACGGCCCAGACUCCUACGGGAGGCAGCAGUGGGGAAUAUUGCACAAUGGGCGAAAGCCUGAUGCAGCGACGCCGCGUGAGGGAUGACGGCCUUCGGGUUGUAAACCUUUGCCAGCAGGGAAGAAGCGAAAGUGACGGUACCUGCAGAAGAAGCGCCGGCUAACUACGUGCCAGCAGCCGCGGUAAUACGUAGGGCGCAAGCGUUGUCCGGAAUUAUUGGGCGUAAAGAGCUCGUAGGCGGCUUGUCACGUCGGUUGUGAAAGCCCGCGGCUUAACCCCGGGUCUGCAGUCGAUACGGGCAGGCUAGAGUUCGGUAGGGGAGAUCGGAAUUCCAGGUGUAGCGGUGAAAUGCGCAGAUAUCAGGAGGAACACCGGUGGCGAAGGCGGAUCUCUGGGCCGAUACUGACGCUCAGGAGCGAAAGCGUGGGGAGCGAACAGGAUUAGAUACCCUGGUAGUCCACGCCGUAAACGGUGGGAACUAGGU